UACAGAGGUCCCGAGCGUUUAGUUCGGAUUCAUUGGGCGUAAAGGGUGCGCAGGUGGCGGGGUUAAGUCUGAUGUGAAAUCCCGGGGCUCCGAACUCCGGAACUGGCAUUGGAUACUGCUCUGCAUUGAGUACUGGAGAGGAGACGGUGGAAUUUACGGUGUAGCAGUGAAAUGCGUAGAGAUCGUAAGGAAGACCAGUGGCGAAGGCGACGUUCCUGGACAGUUACUGACACUGAGGC
Molecule: ribosomal RNA, 239 nt
Filed under: uncultured bacterium
Lineage: Bacteria
Description: partial 16S ribosomal RNA
Rfam family: Bacterial small subunit ribosomal RNA
Source: RNAcentral